UCAAAGGUGUGAAAGGAAGAGAGAAAGAUUCUUUCUUGUGCAUAAAAAAUUAAGAAGAAAGAGUUCUUCCCUUGAUCUCUAUUAUAGAGAUCUGAUGUGUAGAUUUAGAAAGAAAAGGAGAGGGUCUUCUUAUUCUUCAUCUUUGUAUUUUCUCUUAGAUCAGCCAAUGCAUAGUAUAUUCACGAGCUAGCACUCCCGGG
Molecule: long non-coding RNA, 200 nt
Filed under: Elaeis guineensis (African oil palm)
Lineage: Eukaryota; Viridiplantae; Streptophyta; Magnoliopsida; Arecales; Arecaceae
Description: long non-coding RNA (EGUI_LNC045398)
Source: RNAcentral